AGAGGACUCUUCAUUUACAUAAAUAUAUUGUAGAUGUGAUACAAACCACUGCAGCGCAGUACCUGUAAUCCCUACAGCACGCUCUAAUCGUACUAAUAAAAUAUUAUGGUCGACAGUAUCGAAAGCUGCACUGAGGUCUAGCAGGACAAGUACACACCGAGUCCACUGUAAGAGGCAACAUUUGUAACCUUCACUAAAGCCGUUUCUGUGCUGUGAGUUCUGAAACCUGACUAGAUCUCAUUUACAGUGGGGGCAGGCUCAAUUACAGUGCAUAUGAAAAAAAUAGCUAUUUACAAAAUCUUUAAGCAAGGAAAAUCUACAGUAUUUGUUUGCAAAGUCCAUUGUUUUUUUUGUUGUUUUUUGCCUGUCCCGUUUGGCUCUUUUGUCAUCAGAAUUGUUGUCUAAAGGCAAAGAAAGAUGCCCAAUGGAUUUACUUUACCAAAUUGACCAUCCCAGCCUUGCUGUAAUGGUCCAUUUGAUUCACCUUUUAUUGUUUAUUUUAUUUUCACUUACUGAAUACGGGACAGACUUGACUGGGGGAAAGAAGGGGAGAAAGAAAGAGGGAAAGAAAAACAGCUGAGAAGAGGGACGGGGGAGAAGGGCAAAAAACAAAAACCAACAGAAUGAGCAGGAAAAAAAAAAAAAAAGAAAAAAAAUGCAUAUAUCAAUCACCUGGAUCACCUGCUGAGAAAGAAAAAAGAAAACAAGCAGAAGAGAACAAGAGUAAUAGAAUAAACAACAUCACAAUGAUAUAUGGGAAUAUGACAGUAAAUACUAAAUGUUAAACAUUAUUGUGCAGCACAUAAGAUCAACAGAACACAGUGUGCUUUGAGGUAGGAGCCAAAAAGGGUGUAGUUUGUGGGUGUGAUCACCCGUGUGUACACCUGUGAGCAUGGGCGCGCUUGUUUUUUUUUUUUUUUUUUUUUUUUUUUUAAAAGGUUCCUUCAUGUAAUGAUCUGCUAGAGGGUGUGGGGGGGGGCACAGCCCCGUCCUCCAGGGCAUGAAGCAGGUAUGGAGGAGAUCAAAACUCCAGACAUCCAGAGGCCCCCAGAACACAAGCGACCAAGGAAGACCAACAGAGGGGCAGCCGCGCCACUGUCCCAGAAAGAGCUGAGGAGAGUCCCAGAUGAGGGCUCACUCAGCAGCCGCGGAGCAGAAGCCAGGGGGAGUUGGCAGCCAGCCGUGCCUGAGUGACCGAGCCCCAGGCCGAGAGGCCGGGGGCACCCCACCUCCGAAGUGGCCCGAGCGAGCCCCAGGCUCCAGGCCCCGAUAAGCGGCCGCCAAGGAGUGAGCCGGUGUGUACCCGGACGCCCAUCCCCGGACACAAAGAACCACCAACGCACCGAUGUCUGAGGGAGUCCGCCACCGGCAGGGGAAGUGGUGGUCGGGGGGAGAUGUAACACACCCAAAGAAAGAUUCUAGGUCUGACCAACCGUCUCUGUCGUGGGCAAAAAGAUGACAGUCAAUAAAAUUCU
Astatotilapia calliptera (eastern happy) is the source of this 1475-nucleotide long non-coding RNA. Lineage: Eukaryota; Metazoa; Chordata; Actinopteri; Cichliformes; Cichlidae. The record is from Ensembl.